Molecule: small nuclear RNA, 327 nt
Filed under: Octodon degus (degu)
Lineage: Eukaryota; Metazoa; Chordata; Mammalia; Rodentia; Octodontidae
Description: 7SK RNA (ENSODEG00000024715.1)
Rfam family: 7SK RNA
About the family: 7SK was discovered as an abundant small nuclear RNA in the mid-70s but a possible function has only recently been suggested.
Source: Rfam by way of RNAcentral
GGAAGCCGAUUUGGAUGUGACAUCUGUCACCGCAUGGAUCGAUGACCAGGGCUGAUGUGUCUGGUCCGGCUGGCCAGGUGGUGUCCACUUCCUCCCUCACUGCUCCACGUGCAUCCAGCUGAAGCCACACGGGAGGCUGAGGAGGAUGCCACCCCAACGGAGGGGGCUGUUUCCACAGUCAGGGGCAGGCGAGCGGCUGCUCUUGCCCACCACCAUCUCCAAUCAAGCUCUCAGGUGUGAGGCUAGGAACUGCUGUCUGGAGUAAGCAGGAUUCUAGCUUGAGGUCCUUUUUUUUCUCUUCUUUUCUGAAUGAUGCUAGCAUUAAAG